Molecule: ribosomal RNA, 524 nt
Filed under: uncultured bacterium
Lineage: Bacteria
Description: partial 16S ribosomal RNA
Rfam family: Bacterial small subunit ribosomal RNA
Source: RNAcentral
GACGAACGCUGGCGGCGUGCCUAAUACAUGCAAGUCGAGCGCAGGAAAUCAUCCGAACCCUUCGGGGGGACGUUGAUGGAAUGAGCGGCGGACGGGUGAGUAACACGUAAAGAACCUGCCCUCAGGUCUGGGAUAACCACGAGAAAUCGGGGCUAAUACCGGAUGGGUCAUCGGACCGCAUGGUCCGAGGAUGAAAGGCGCUUCGGCGUCGCCUGGGGAUGGCUUUGCGGUGCAUUAGCUAGCUGGUGGGGUAAUGGCCCACCAAGGCGACGAUGCAUAGCCGACCUGAGAGGGUGAUCGGCCACACUGGGACUGAGACACGGCCCAGACUCCUACGGGAGGCAGCAGUAGGGAAUCUUCCACAAUGGACGAAAGUCUGAUGGAGCAACGCCGCGUGAACGAUGAAGGCCUUCGGGUCGUAAAGUUCUGUUGUAAGGGAAGAACAAGUGCCGCAGGCAAUGGCGGCACCUUGACGGUACCUUGCGAGAAAGCCACGGCUAACUACGUGCCAGCCGCCGCGGUAA